GCACCUGUGGUGGAAUGGCAGACACGGCAGUUUUAGGUACUGUUUUCGCAAGGAGUGCAGGUUCAAGUCCUGUCAGGUGCA
RNAcentral lists this transfer RNA (81 nucleotides) under Oscillospiraceae bacterium. RNAcentral describes it as "tRNA-Leu". It matches the Rfam family "tRNA". Rfam says of the family: Transfer RNA (tRNA) molecules are approximately 80 nucleotides in length. Their secondary structure includes four short double-helical elements and three loops (D, anti-codon, and T loops). Lineage: Bacteria; Bacillati; Bacillota; Clostridia; Eubacteriales; Oscillospiraceae. The record is from RNAcentral.